Long non-coding RNA from Meriones unguiculatus (Mongolian gerbil), 1016 nucleotides. RefSeq lists it as uncharacterized. The transcript is spliced from 2 exons. Lineage: Eukaryota; Metazoa; Chordata; Mammalia; Rodentia; Muridae. The record is from RefSeq and is a predicted model, not a curated record.
UCAAGGCAAUAAAGUUUUCGCCUCCGUUUUCGUUCCGACCAGCCUAAGUGGCUCCACAGGAUUCCCUCUCCCUCCCGUGCGGAGCGAGGCGGGAGGAGACGGCCUCAGCCCCGGGCCCCUGUCCCCGACGCUCACUCCAGCCCUCGGGGACCCAGCGCCCUGAACCCCCGCAGCUACCGGGCCUCGCUAAAAGCCGAGACCCCGACGGCCCCGCCUUCCUCCAAGUAACGGGAACUCGAGCCCGCCAAGGAGGGCGCGGACGUCCCCGUCCGUCCCCAUCCGUCCCCGCUGUCCCGCAGCCAUCCCCAAGUUUGCUGGGCACCCUCAGCCCACGCGCCGCGGCUGGCACCUCAUCCCGCCCCGGGGCGCAAGCGUCCUCUGGGGCCGGCGCCCCGCGGGCACGGAAGGCACCUAACCCGGGAAGGGGACGCUUGGCCCGGAGUAGCGGCCUGCGGCUGGGGAUAGGGUGCGCGGAGGAGCGCGUGGGAUCCCGGAGAGAGAAGGCCGGAAUGCCCGGGAGGAGUGCGGGGGACCCGCGCCACGGGGGAGGGGGCGGGGUGAAGCCGGAGGCUGGAGGUUCGCGGUGGGCACCUCGGGGCGUCUGGGGCUGAGGAGCCCCGGCAGGGGAACGGGCAAGGUGGCUGCCCGGGAGCCUGGAAGGAUGAGCAGGCGAGGCUGGGAUGGUAGUGGGCGCAGACACGACUCAAGUUAAGGCGAUCAUUACGCUGAUGGGAGUCAGAAGCACGUGGGUGUCUCCGACCAGCCUCGAAUUCUGAGCCUUCAAAACAAAUCAAACAAUGUGCGUCGCCCACAGAGGCCGGGAAAUCCGCUGGAGGCUAUACCCCGAGAACCAGGCAGGAGCGACAUCGGGCGGGUCACCUCUCCUGUGAUGUUCUGUGUCCUGCUUAGCUGAUUGUUUCAUAACUCCCAAAGCUUCCAAAUGGAAUCAUUUGCCAGUCCUAACAAAGUAGUUGACACAGUCGUGAUUUCGUGAAAUUAAUAAAAUUUGGAUUCUA